Molecule: long non-coding RNA, 1188 nt
Organism: Acinonyx jubatus (cheetah)
Lineage: Eukaryota; Metazoa; Chordata; Mammalia; Carnivora; Felidae
Exons: 2
Source: RefSeq, a predicted model, not a curated record
UAGACUGAUUUCUAAUUUAAAAACAAAGAAAAAUAGAAGACUUUUGUUAGGGAAUGAGGAAAACUUCAUUUGUCAUGAAAGAUGAUGCAAAUUGUUGGAGUUUGAAACUCAAUGAGAAAAAAAUGUGAAUUGAAAGAAAAAAAUGUGAGAGGAGAUGACACCAUUAAUAAACAGCCUGGGUUGUAACUGGGUGUGACCUUAUGGAUCUAGAGUGGGUCUGCUUUAACUGUAGUUCCCAACACAGGAUUGGGCACAUAGUAGGUCCUAAAGGUAUAUCUAUUGCCUAAAUAUAUGAAUGGCCUGAAAUAAGAAACUCACUUAAGUCUUGAUGAAGGGGAAGGUUUUUAGACGUUUCAGAUAUUUACAUAACCUCCAACAGUUCAAUUUGCAUUUUCAACGUAUGGCUUCUAAUGCCUCUUGCGUCUUGCUUACUGCAACAGACUGAAUGUUUGUGCCCACCUAAAAUUCAGAUAUUGAAAUCUUAACCUCCAAUGUGAUGGUGUAAGUAGGUGGGGCCUUUGGGAGGCAAUUAGGUCAUUAGGACAGAGUCCUCACAAACCAGAUUAGUGUCCUUAUAAAAGGGACCUCAGAGAGCUCUCUUUCCCUCUUUCCACCAUGUGAAGAUACAGCAAGAACAGCCAUUUAUGAACCAGGAAUCAGAUUCUCACCAGAAACCAGAUCUGCUGUAUCUUGACCUUGAACUUCCUAGCCUCCUGAACUGUAAAGAGAUAAAUAUUUGCUGUUUAAGCCACCAGGUCUAUGGGAAAUUUGUUAAAGUAGCCUGAACUGGUUCACACACCUGCUUUAGGUUUACUAUCUUCUUCAGUAUGUGAGAGAAAUUGGUGUUUCUAUAGCAAGAAAUCAGAUAUGAAGAGUGGAACCAUUUAUUUCAAUCAAGGUAAACAUCUAGUUUUCUGGAAUGGAAAAAAAAAACAAACCCAACAAACAACAACACAAGAAACAGAAAUUGCUGAUUGGUGCUGACAGCUCAAGAAAUAAAAUUCGUAAGACAAAGUACCAGGUGGUAAUGAUCUCACGGUUUGUGGGAUUAAGCCCUGCAUUGGGCUCUGUACUGACAGCAUGGAGCCUGCUUGGGAUUCUUUAUCUCCCUCUCUCUCUCCCCCUCCCCAGCUCGUGCUCUCUCUCAAAAUAAAUGAAUAAACAUUUAAUAAAAAGAAAUAUACCAAA